Long non-coding RNA from Octopus sinensis (East Asian common octopus), 169 nucleotides. RefSeq lists it as uncharacterized. The transcript has 3 exons. The record is from RefSeq and is a predicted model, not a curated record. Lineage: Eukaryota; Metazoa; Mollusca; Cephalopoda; Octopoda; Octopodidae.
UGUCAUCUGAAUUAAAACUUUUCAUCAAAAUUCACUUAAUUUAUGUUCCAAAUGCCAGCUUAACAAUGAAAGUCAUUUUACUAAAUUCUUCAUUAUUUUCAAAAUGAAUUGAUAUAAAAGAAGUGUAUUUCAACUGAAAUGUAGUAACGAAAGGCUUUAAAAAAAUAUU